This 453-nucleotide ribosomal RNA is filed under the name Aeromonas veronii. RNAcentral describes it as "bacterial SSU rRNA". It matches the Rfam family "Bacterial small subunit ribosomal RNA", at positions 1 to 448 of the family's 1533-position model. Lineage: Bacteria; Pseudomonadati; Pseudomonadota; Gammaproteobacteria; Aeromonadales; Aeromonadaceae. The record is from RNAcentral.
AAAUUGAAGAGUUUGAUCAUGGCUCAGAUUGAACGCUGGCGGCAGGCCUAACACAUGCAAGUCGAGCGGCAGCGGGAAAGUAGCUUGCUACUUUUGCCGGCGAGCGGCGGACGGGUGAGUAAUGCCUGGGGAUCUGCCCAGUCGAGGGGGAUAACAGUUGGAAACGACUGCUAAUACCGCAUACGCCCUACGGGGGAAAGGAGGGGACCUUCGGACCUUUCGCGAUUGGAUGAACCCAGGUGGGAUUAGCUAGUUGGUGAGGUAAUGGCUCACCAAGGCGACGAUCCCUAGCUGGUCUGAGAGGAUGAUCAGCCACACUGGAACUGAGACACGGUCCAGACUCCUACGGGAGGCAGCAGUGGGGAAUAUUGCACAAUGGGGGAAACCCUGAUGCAGCCAUGCCGCGUGUGUGAAGAAGGCCUUCGGGUUGUAAAGCACUUUCAGCGAGGAGGA